AUGGUCGAGAGCUAUUUAAAUGAUUAUAGUGUUAACAAUGGAAGUAGUCAGAAAUAUAUCAAUGUUUCGACAAGGGCGUGUGGUUCAUACCUCCACACAUUUCCUCAGAGCAAAAUCCAGACCCCAUCCAUGAACCAAGUCAUUCUGCAACAAGGGGAUGUUAACCACAUGAGGUGCAAAUGUAAGAGGAAAUUAGAUGGUGGAAAUAUGCUAUACCUGAAUCAUAUGCCAUACACAUCUCCAUGCAUCUCUGGAGAAAACCGGAGCCAUAAUUUCAACAAAACUGCACAUCAAACAUACCCAGUUAGGCCCUUUUCCAUGUAUAUCAGCGACCAAGUAACACAAGUCAGCUGCGGAAGGCGAAAUACAUACGCAGCACAUGGUGGAAGAUGA
Molecule: ribosomal RNA, 393 nt
Filed under: Triticum aestivum (bread wheat)
Lineage: Eukaryota; Viridiplantae; Streptophyta; Magnoliopsida; Poales; Poaceae
Description: partial small subunit ribosomal RNA
Source: RNAcentral